RNAcentral lists this long non-coding RNA (966 nucleotides) under Parus major (Great Tit). RNAcentral describes it as "lncRNA (ENSPMJG00000000658.1)". The record is from RNAcentral. Lineage: Eukaryota; Metazoa; Chordata; Aves; Passeriformes; Paridae.
GAAAAUCUCAUAUUGGAAGAAAUGCUUUAUGUCAGAAAUCUGACAUUCUAUCUUUAUUUUAUGUACAGAUUGAUCCACUGAAUAAAUCAAACUAUCUGAUAGCCUCUCAAUCGCUAAUGGAUUUAGCUUCCAAAUACUCUUGAAGGUUAGGUAAAUACUAAAUAUCUUCAGUUUCAAAGGGGAAAGAGAGGUAAGGAGAGAUUAGUAGUUUAAAUUUCCAUGGUAUUAAGCAGCCACUUUUAAAAGAUGUAGUCAAUAGAAAGAACAGCUCUCAGCACUUCUGAAAAUUGAGUGAUAAUGGUCUUAAUUAAGUCACCAAGUAAGUCAGUAUCAGAGCUAUGCAUACAGCUGAGGUUCUGUGACUGACUGACUGUAAACAUAAAACUUUCUUCUUUUAGUCAGCAAUCAGAAAUGAGGAUUGCUUACAACAAUUUUAAUGCUUAUGACAUCAGAUUAAAUACAGUAUAAGAUUAUCUGCAGGGUUUUUUUUUUUUGUUGGGUUUGUUUUUUUUUGGGUUUUUUUGGUUGUUUUUUUUUUAGGACAAUCUGUGAUUUAAGUCAAUUGGCUGGUUUAUGGAGCACUAAAUGGCAGAGAGCAGCUGUCUUGUCCUACCCCAGGGAGCUAAGAGAUCUUGGAAAAGUCCAGGGAAGUUAAAUGAAGGCACAUAUCUCAGAUGACCGGAGAGAGUAUCUGGAAAUUCCAGACUCCUGGUUCAGAUGUACAAACUGGAAGGCACAAACAGAGGCAGCUGUCCCCACACAUGGCCAAAAAAUGUGUGACUGCAUCUCGCUUUGAUGAAUGUAUGAAUGAGAAGUACACCUGUUCAAUGAAAAUGGAGAUGAUCUUUGGUUUGUGAAAGAAGGGUAAGAAUUAUGCUGUCAUCUCUGAAUAUUCUCCUUUGCUUUUCCUACAACAUACACCAGAAAACACCAAACCAAACUAAACAAUUCCACACAACCCCCCAC